This 253-nucleotide ribosomal RNA is filed under the name uncultured bacterium. RNAcentral's name for it is "partial 16S ribosomal RNA". It matches the Rfam family "Bacterial small subunit ribosomal RNA", at positions 524 to 776 of the family's 1533-position model. The record is from RNAcentral.
UACGUAGGUGGCAAGCGUUGUCCGGAUUUACUGGGCGUAAAGAGCGCGCAGGCGGUCGUGCAAGUCGCGUGUGAAAGCCCCCGGCUCAACUGGGGAGGGUCACGCGAUACUGCUCGACUCGAAGGCAGGAGAGGGAAGUGGAAUUCCCGGUGUAGUGGUGAAAUGCGUAGAGAUGUGGAGGAACACCGAUGGCGAAGGCAGCCCCCUGGGUUAACACUGACGCUCAGGCACGAAAGCGUGGGGAGCAAACAGG